This 253-nucleotide ribosomal RNA is filed under the name uncultured bacterium. Its description in RNAcentral is "partial 16S ribosomal RNA". It matches the Rfam family "Bacterial small subunit ribosomal RNA", at positions 524 to 776 of the family's 1533-position model. The record is from RNAcentral.
UACGUAGGGCGCAAGCGUUGUCCGGAAUUAUUGGGCGUAAAGAGCUCGUAGGCGGCUUGUCACGUCGAUUGUGAAAGCCCGAGGCUUAACCUCGGGUCUGCAGUCGAUACGGGCUAGCUUGAGUGUGGUAGGGGAGAUCGGAAUUCCUGGUGUAGCGGUGAAAUGCGCAGAUAUCAGGAGGAACACCGGUGGCGAAGGCGGAUCUCUGGGCCAUUACUGACGCUGAGGAGCGAAAGCGUGGGGAGCGAACAGG